Molecule: ribosomal RNA, 450 nt
Filed under: uncultured bacterium
Lineage: Bacteria
Description: partial 16S ribosomal RNA
Rfam family: Bacterial small subunit ribosomal RNA
Source: RNAcentral
CCUACGGGGGGCUGCAGUAAGGAAUAUUGGUCAAUGGGCGCAAGCCUGAACCAGCCAUGCCGCGUGAAGGAUGACGGCCCUAUGGGUUGUAAACUUCUUUUGUACGGGAAAAAACCACCGGUCGUGUAUCGGUGCUGAUGGUACCGUAAGAAUAAGCAUCGGCUAACUCCGUGCCAGCAGCCGCGGUAAUACGGAGGAUGCAAGCUUUAUGGGGAUUCAUGGGGUGCAGGCGGUGUGUUAAGGGAAUGGUGAAAGCCUACAGCUCAACUGUAGAACUGCCAUUGAUACUGACAUUCUUGAGUAUUGUUGAGGUAGGCGGAAUGUGUCAUGUAGCGGUGAAAUGCUUAGAUAUGACACAGAACACCGAUCGCGAAGGCAGCUUACCAAGCAAUAACUGACGCUCAUGCACGAAAGCGUGGGGAUCAAACAGGAUUAGAUACCCCUGUAGUC